This 255-nucleotide ribosomal RNA is filed under the name uncultured bacterium. Its description in RNAcentral is "partial 16S ribosomal RNA". It matches the Rfam family "Bacterial small subunit ribosomal RNA", at positions 524 to 776 of the family's 1533-position model. The record is from RNAcentral.
UACGAAGGGGGCUAGCGUUGUUCGGAAUUACUGGGCGUAAAGCGCGCGGCAGGCGGUCUUCCAAGUCAGUGGUGAAAGCCCGGAGCUCAACUCCGGGAACUGCCAUUGAAACUGUGAGACUUGAGGAUGAGAGAGGUGAGUGGAAUUCCCAGUGUAGAGGUGAAAUUCGUAGAUAUUGGGAAGAACACCGGUGGCGAAGGCGGCUCACUGGCUCAUUUCUGACGCUCAGGCGCGACAGCGUGGGGAUCAAACAGG